RNAcentral lists this non-coding RNA (21 nucleotides) under Caenorhabditis elegans. Lineage: Eukaryota; Metazoa; Nematoda; Chromadorea; Rhabditida; Rhabditidae. The record is from RNAcentral.
UGACGUAAAAAUACUUUCUAA